Molecule: ribosomal RNA, 467 nt
Filed under: uncultured bacterium
Lineage: Bacteria
Description: partial 16S ribosomal RNA
Rfam family: Bacterial small subunit ribosomal RNA
Source: RNAcentral
ACGAACGCUGGCGGCGUGCUUAACACAUGCAAGUCGAACGGAAAGGCCCUGCUUUUGUGGGGUGCUCGAGUGGCGAACGGGUGAGUAACACGUGAGUAACCUGCCCUUGACUUUGGGAUAACUUCAGGAAACUGGGGCUAAUACCGGAUAGGAGCUCCUGCUGCAUGGUGGGGGUUGGAAAGUUUCGGCGGUUGGGGAUGGACUCGCGGCUUAUCAGCUUGUUGGUGGGGUAGUGGCUUACCAAGGCUUUGACGGGUAGCCGGCCUGAGAGGGUGACCGGCCACAUUGGGACUGAGAUACGGCCCAGACUCCUACGGGAGGGAGCAGUGGGGAAUAUUGCACAAUGGGCGGAAGCCUGAUGCAGCAACGCCGCGUGCGGGAUGACGGCCUUCGGGUUGUAAACCGCUUUCGCCUGUGACGAAGCGUGAGUGACGGUAAUGGGUAAAGAAGCACCGGCUAACUACGUG